GUACUAGAAGGCCACAAUUCAGUCACCCUGAAGCCUUCUCCUUUCCAAGCUGAGCAAUCUGAAUUCUCCCAGCCUUUCAUCAUAGGAGAGGUGCUCCAUCCCUCUGAUCAUCUUGGUGGCCCUCCUCUGGACUCACUCCAACAGGCCCAUGUCCUUUCUGUGCUGAGGACCCAGAGGUGGAUGCAGCAUUCCAUCUUCUUUCAUCUGGAA
Empidonax traillii (willow flycatcher) is the source of this 210-nucleotide long non-coding RNA. RefSeq lists it as uncharacterized. NCBI's taxonomy places the organism in Eukaryota, Metazoa, Chordata, Aves, Passeriformes, Tyrannidae. The transcript is spliced from 3 exons. The record is from RefSeq and is a predicted model, not a curated record.